UAUAACUAUAAUUUCAUUGAGUAAUAUAUCCGGAACUUACUUCGCAAGCUCAUCUCUAACCCCCUCAAACUAUAUAAUCUGCUAUUUCCAUGAGAAACCCCUCGCUGGCAUUUCUUCAAACAACUCGCAAGCAAACCGAAAGAACUACCCGAAUUCCAAUCUCAAUACCUCCGAAACACCAAAAACCAGAGCCAAUCUCAGCGGACAACCCAAACUACGACCCGAACCGCGCUUACCCAAGCGAUUCAAGAGCCUACCAGUUCACCCAUCAACCAAUCGAAACACCCAAAAAUGCUAAACCAAG
This 304-nucleotide long non-coding RNA is filed under the name Eucalyptus grandis. Its description in RNAcentral is "long non-coding RNA (EGRA_LNC003467)". Lineage: Eukaryota; Viridiplantae; Streptophyta; Magnoliopsida; Myrtales; Myrtaceae. The record is from RNAcentral.